This 253-nucleotide ribosomal RNA is filed under the name uncultured bacterium. Its description in RNAcentral is "partial 16S ribosomal RNA". It matches the Rfam family "Bacterial small subunit ribosomal RNA", at positions 524 to 776 of the family's 1533-position model. The record is from RNAcentral.
UACGUAGGGUGCGAGCGUUAAUCGGAAUUACUGGGCGUAAAGCGUGCGCAGGCGGUUCGUUAUGUCUGUUGUGAAAGCCCCGGGCUCAACCUGGGAAUGGCAAUGGAAACUGGCGAGCUAGAGUGUGGCAGAGGGGGGUGGAAUUCCGCGUGUAGCAGUGAAAUGCGUAGAUAUCGGGAGGAACACCGGUGGCGAAGGCGGCCCCCUGGUUGGAUACUGACGCUGAGGUGCGAAAGCGUGGGGAGCAAACAGG